GAUGAACGCUGGCGGCGUGCCUAAUACAUGCAAGUCGAGCGAACAGACGAGGAGCUUGCUCCUCUGACGUUAGCGGCGGACGGGUGAGUAACACGUGGAUAACCUACCUAUAAGACUGGGAUAACUUCGGGAAACCGGAGCUAAUACCGGAUAAUAUAUUGAACCGCAUGGUUCAAUAGUGAAAGACGGUUUUGCUGUCACUUAUAGAUGGAUCCGCGCCGCAUUAGCUAGUUGGUAAGGUAACGGCUUACCAAGGCGACGAUGCGUAGCCGACCUGAGAGGGUGAUCGGCCACACUGGAACUGAAACACGGUCCAGACUCCUACGGGAGGCAGCAGUAGGGAAUCGUCCGCAAUGGGCGAAAGCCUGACGGAGCAACGCCGCGUGAGUGAUGAAGGUCUUCGGAUCGUAAAACUCUGUUAUUAGGGAAGAACAAAUGUGUAAGUAACUAUGCACGUCUUGACGGUACCUAAUCAGAAAGCCACGGCUAACUACGUG
Molecule: ribosomal RNA, 497 nt
Filed under: uncultured bacterium
Lineage: Bacteria
Description: partial 16S ribosomal RNA
Rfam family: Bacterial small subunit ribosomal RNA
Source: RNAcentral